GCCGGCCCCACUACAGCUGAGGGGGCGGGGCUCUCUAGAGGAGCCAAUCAGGGAGGCGCGGGCGGUGUGACGCGACGCACCUCGGGGCCAGUGUAACCUGUCUGCAGUGGGCGGGGCCAGGGCAGCACCGCCUCCUGCACUUAAGCCCUGAGACCUGCGCUCAGACUCUGGGCACCUACGCCCCAACUGACUUGGCUAGCCAGCGAUCCUGCUAGUCCUGUCCUGUGUCUCGCGCCACUUAUGACCCAAGCCUGCUCUUUCUUUCUGUGGGACGCGCUCAUUGGAUAUAAGCUCACCUCACCUUUUGACCCUUCUCUUAUUAGUCAGGGGCAUAAAGCAAUAAAAGAGAAUUCGAAAUUGUGACUUCCCAGCUCUGAUGCGCAAACCUUACACCUGACAUAAGAGGAAUCAGCAGGAGCAGCCUACCUGCCCGUCGACGAUUCAUCCGUGGGAGAGAUUCUGGGGGUUUCCAUAACACCGCGUUCGUGUGUACAGGGUGGCACUCAUUGCCAUUGUUUAAUAAUAAACUGUUGGUGCGUUCGUCUCUGGCACCAGGCUGUGAGCGCCUUGAGUGCAAGAAGUGUCCUAUCCGGCCUGCCAGGUGUCCUUAUAGGCAGCGUGGGGAGUGACAUGCGGGAGGUGCUCAAAUAUUAGCAACAAAAAGUGUAUUGGGGGGAAAAGUGUAUUGAAUACAGUUGCUUAAACAGGUCCAGGAAAUAGCACCUCCUUCCUUAAAUGAAAAUAGUGCACUGAAACACACUGCAGUUAAAAGUGUUUUAACCUCUGUCCACUGAAAAGGCCUGAAACAACGAUCAACACAAUGCACACUCUUAUUCUCCAUCAUUGUCUAUAUUGGUUUCGGUGAUACCUGGCGUCAGCUGCAAUACCCUUGGCUGCUUUCCUGAUUACAUCACAAUUUGACCUGAGGGACGCGAUCUUGCACUCUACAGGUGGAAAGCAUCAACUGUCAUGAACCACAUCCAAGGAUGUACACUUGGUAUGAUGCAAUAUGAAUGGCACUUUCCCUCUGUAGCCUUCUUUCCAAAAACCUAUUAGCUCCAGUCUUAUCAUGAGAGAAACAUGAAACUGACAGUGGGGGAAUCUUACAAGAUGCCUAACAAGUACUCACUCCUGGAAACUAUCAAGGUCAUCAAAACAGGGAAAGUCGGAAAAACUGCCAUAACCUAGAAGAGCCUAAGGUGAUAUGACAACGAAAUGUAAAAAUGUGGUAUCCUGAAUGGAAUUCUGGCUCAGAAAAAGGACAGUAGGUAAAAACUGAGGAAAUCUAAAUAAACCCUGGACUUUAGUAACAAUG
This is a long non-coding RNA of Acinonyx jubatus (cheetah), 1315 nucleotides long. RefSeq lists it as uncharacterized. NCBI's taxonomy places the organism in Eukaryota, Metazoa, Chordata, Mammalia, Carnivora, Felidae. The transcript is spliced from 4 exons. The record is from RefSeq and is a predicted model, not a curated record.